GCUAACUCCGUGCCAGCAGCCGCGGUAAUACGGAGGGUGCGAGCGUUAAUCGGAAUUACUGGGCGUAAAGGGUGCGUAGGUGGUUUAAUAAGUUAUCUGUGAAAUCCCUGGGCUCAACCUGGGAAGGUCAGAUAAGACUGUUUGACUCGAGUAUGGGAGAGGGUAGUGGAAUUUCCGGUGUAGCGGUGAAAUGCGUAGAGAUCGGAAGGAACACCAGUGGCGAAGGCGGCUACCUGGCCUAAUACUGACACUGAAGCACGAAAGCGUGGGGAGCAAACAGGAUUAGAUACCCUGGUAGUCCACGCCGUAAACGAUGUCAACUAGCUGUUGGAA
This 333-nucleotide ribosomal RNA is filed under the name uncultured Legionella sp. Its description in RNAcentral is "bacterial SSU rRNA". It matches the Rfam family "Bacterial small subunit ribosomal RNA", at positions 496 to 828 of the family's 1533-position model. Lineage: Bacteria; Pseudomonadati; Pseudomonadota; Gammaproteobacteria; Legionellales; Legionellaceae. The record is from RNAcentral.